UACCUGGUUGAUCCUGCCAGUAGCAUAUGCUUGUCUCAAAGAUUAAGCCAUGCAUGUCUAAGUACAACCCGCUUGACGGGGAAACCGCGAAUGGCUCAAUAAAUCAGUUAUGGUUCCUUAGAUCCACCCAUCCUACUUGGAUAACUGUGGCAAUUCUAGAGCUAAUACAUGCACUCAAGCCCCGACUGCGGGAUUCGCGUCUCGCAGGAGGGGUGCUUUUAUUAGAUCAAAACCAGUCGGGGGGCGUCAAAACCCCCCGUUCCGUUUGGUGACUCUGGAUAACUUCUCGCGGAUCGCACGGUCUCGCACCGGCGACGCGUCUUUCAAAUGUCUGCCUUAUCAACUGUCGAUGGUAGGUUAUGCGCCUACCAUGGUUGCAACGGGUAACGGGGAAUCGGGGUUCGAUUCCGGAGAGGGAGCCUGAGAAACGGCUACCACAUCCAAGGAAGGCAGCAGGCGCGCAAAUUACCCACUCCCGGCACGGGGAGGUAGUGACGAAAAAUAACGAUACGGGACUCUUCCGAGGCCCCGUGAUUGGAAUGAGUACACUUUAAAUCCUUUAACGAGGACCCAUUGGAGGGCAAGUCUGGUGCCAGCAGCCGCGGUAACUCCAGCUCCAAUAGCGUAUAUUAAAGUUGUUGCGGUUAAGAAGCUCGUAGUCGGAUGUCUGUCUUCGGCCGGGCGUCGCGCGCUCUGAAUCAAGGGUGCGCGAUAUCGCUCUGUGGUCCGCGGUGUCAAAGCCCGGACUGCUUAACGGUCGGACAACACCGCCGGAGUGGUGACGUCGAACCCCCGUUGCGGGUUUUCGGAUCCGUUUUCGGGGGACCUCGGCCCACCCGUAAUCGUGCGGGGUGCCUUUAACCGGGUGUCCCGCACGGCCGGCAAUGUUUACUUUGAACAAAUUAGAGUGCUCAAAGCAGGUGCAUUUUCGCCUGAAUAUGACAGCAUGGAAUGAUGAAAGAGGACCUCGGUCUUAUUUUGCUGGUCUUUUCUUUAGACCCGAGGUAAUGAUCAAUAGAGACGGACGGGGGCAUCCGUACUGCGGCGACAGAGGUGAAAUUCUUGGACCGCCGCAAGACGAACAACAGCGAAGGCAUUUGCCAAGAAUGUUUUCCUUGAUCAAGAACGAAAGUUAGAGGUUCGAAGGCGAUCAGAUACCGCCCUAGUUCUAACCAUAAACGAUGCCAACCAGCGAUCCGCCGGUGUUACUCCCAUGACUCGGCGGGCGGCUUCCGGGAAACCAAAGUCUUUGGGUUCCGGGGGAAGUAUGGUUGCAAAGCUGAAACUUAAAGGAAUUGACGGAAGGGCACCACCAGGAGUGGAGCCUGCGGCUUAAUUUGACUCAACACGGGAAACCUCACCAGGCCCGGACACUGGAAGGAUUGACAGAUUGAGAGCUCUUUCUUGAUUCGGUGGGUGUUGGUGCAUGCCCGUUCUUAGUUGGUGGAGCGAUUUGUCUGGUUAAUUCCGAUAACGAACGAGACUCUAGCCUGCUAAAUAGGUGGCGGGUUUUUAAUUGAAAUUGAGGGGGUCGGGGACGGCGGGAUCAGGGCUUGGCGCGGUGGCGUGCGUUUUUCGGCCCGGCGGGGCGGGCGACCUUCGCUCUCGGGUGGAGGGAGUUCGUUCCGUCGUCGUCGGGGCGCGCGUCGCCGUGUCGGGUUCCCCGCUGCGUUCCGGCUCUCGCGUCCGUCACAGCUCUUCUUAGAGGGACAAGCGGCGUCCAGCCGCGUGACAGUGAGCAAUAACAGGUCUGUGAUGCCCUUAGAUGUCCUGGGCCGCACGCGCGCUACACUGAAGGAAUCAGCGUGUUUCACUUCCCCUGUCCGAAAGGACCGGGUAACCGCUGAACCUCCUUCGUGGUUGGGAUUGGGGACUGCAAUGAUCCCCAUGAACCAGGAAUCCCUAGUAGGCGCGGGUCACUAGCCCGCGUCGAUUACGUCCCUGCCCUUUGUACACACCGCCCGUCGCUACUACCGAUUGAAUGAUUUAGUGAGGACUUCGGACGGGCCCGUCGGGGUUUGGUGUUCGGGGGGCAACUCUCGGGCACCGUUCCUAUUCACGGCGGGACUGAAAGAUGUUCGAACUUGAUCCUUUAGAGGAAGUAAAAGUCGUAACAAGGUUUCCGUAGGUGAACCUGCAGAUGGAUCAUUA
This 2151-nucleotide ribosomal RNA is filed under the name Pleuroxus aduncus. Its description in RNAcentral is "SSU rRNA". It matches the Rfam family "Eukaryotic small subunit ribosomal RNA". Lineage: Eukaryota; Metazoa; Arthropoda; Branchiopoda; Diplostraca; Chydoridae. The record is from RNAcentral.